Molecule: long non-coding RNA, 250 nt
Filed under: Rhipicephalus microplus (southern cattle tick)
Lineage: Eukaryota; Metazoa; Arthropoda; Arachnida; Ixodida; Ixodidae
Description: uncharacterized LOC119180220
Source: RNAcentral
GUUGAACGGAAGUACAACGCCAUGGCGCUGCUGAAAGAAAAAGAGGUUGUUUAUUUGGUGGGAGUCAGUAAGCAUCCACCGCAUUCGGAACUUCCGUACAGAUGCAUGAGACUUGUUCUCAAAUACGCAACUCCCUAUGAAAGCCAUCGUCGAAUGGUAUACGAAUAUCGUACAGAUUAUGAAGAGGAAACCAACAAAAUCAAUGAAAACUUGCACGACCACUGUAUAUGGAAGCCCAAAAAACUUUCAC